Molecule: long non-coding RNA, 928 nt
Filed under: Mus spicilegus (steppe mouse)
Lineage: Eukaryota; Metazoa; Chordata; Mammalia; Rodentia; Muridae
Description: lncRNA (ENSMSIG00000019088.1)
Source: RNAcentral
GGCUCACCCUACUGACUCCCCCAUAUACACUGUAGCAGGCUCACCCUUUCAACAAACUAAUAAAUGGGAAACAUUUGAUGAGGUAUUAAUUAGUAUUUGUUGUUUUGAAAUCUCCCCCCUUUCCUCUCUUUCCCCUUCCUUCAGUCUUUCCUUGGCUGUUUCCUUUGCAAUGAAGAAGCUCUCUAAUUUAAUAUAGCAUGUGUUUCAUAUGUGUAUGUUGCACUGGGAACUAGGGUACUGCUUUUAUUAUUUUUUUUAAUGAAGAUGUCUUCCAGUUGGUGUUUACUUUUCUCCCGUGUAGAGACUUCAGUUAUAAAAUUCUGUCAUGAAAAUUCAUAUCUCAUUAACAUCAUGACUAGCAAACCAUAGUGUGUUUGUGCCUGAACAAAGAAACAUCUAUUUUGAGUCCUAAGUCUUAUAAUAUCCCAUAAGAAUAUUGUCCCAUUCAUCAAGUGCAGCCCAAUUCUUAUCUUUCUCAAAGAAAAAAAAAUCUUUUUACAAAUUUAGUAGAAAUCAUGCUUCCUCUAUGAACCAACGGACUAUCCUUUCUGGACACAGAUGUGAACAGCUGUUGCUAGUCCUCAGGGGAGGACCCCAGGCUGUCUUUCCUUCUUUCUCAUUCCCACACCUAUAAAUUUGGCCUGUUCACACUUUCCAGGGAUGAAUUCAGUCUUCAGAGUCAUGGUAACCAGUCCCAGACUGUGCAACUGACACGCUUUGAAAUGCCAGCAUAUAAGAGUAAAUGCUAACAGUUACCACACAGCUGCUUGUGCAAACUAUAGACGAUAGAGUCUGGAGUUCGGCAGACCAGCCAAAACGCCACGGUUGCCUCCUGAUGACCUACAUCUGCUCUCUGCCUGGAGCCAAUAAUGCAAGCAGUAUUUUCAUCACGAAGCAUCUAGAGAGAAAAGAUUUCACAACUUCCUAG